This 175-nucleotide small RNA is filed under the name Carlito syrichta (Philippine tarsier). RNAcentral's name for it is "TUC338 (ENSTSYG00000037461.1)". The record is from RNAcentral. Lineage: Eukaryota; Metazoa; Chordata; Mammalia; Primates; Tarsiidae.
UUGCAGCAGUGAAGACUGAAGUCCUCUAUUUAUCCACAGUCUAGGUGCGGUGCAGGCAGCCACAUUGCGGGCUUCCAUACCCACCACCCUGGUAAUGAUCUCCACCCUGAUCCGGAGGAACCCUCCUCUCUAGGGGUGAAAAGGUAAUUCAGCCUCCACUCAAGCCUAGACAUUU